Molecule: ribosomal RNA, 440 nt
Filed under: uncultured bacterium
Lineage: Bacteria
Description: partial 16S ribosomal RNA
Rfam family: Bacterial small subunit ribosomal RNA
Source: RNAcentral
CCUACGGGUGGCAGCAGUGGGGAAUAUUGCACAAUGGGGGGAACCCUGAUGCAGCGACGCCGCGUGGGUGAAGGAGUACUUCGGUACGUAAAGCCCUAUCAGCAGGGACGAAAAUGACGGUACCUGACUUAGAAGCCCCGGCUAACUACGUGCCAGCCGCCGCGGUAAUACGUAGGGGGCAAGCGUUAUCCGGAUUUACUGGGUGUAAAGGGAGCGUAGACGGCAGUGCAAGUCCGAAGUGAAAGCCCGGGGCUCAACCCUGGGACUGCUCUUGAAACUGUAAUGCUAGAGUGCGGGAGGGGCAAGGGGAAUUCCUGGUGUAGCGGUGAAAUGCGUAGAUAUUAGGAGGAACACCAGCGGCGAAGGCGGCCUACUGGACCGUAACUGACGUUGAGGCUCGAAAGCGUGGGGAGCAAACAGGAUUAGAUACCCGAGUAGUC